This is a long non-coding RNA of Amphibalanus amphitrite, 1300 nucleotides long. RefSeq lists it as uncharacterized. The record is from RefSeq and is a predicted model, not a curated record. The transcript has 4 exons. NCBI's taxonomy places the organism in Eukaryota, Metazoa, Arthropoda, Thecostraca, Balanomorpha, Balanidae.
GCGCCCAGUGGAGGGGCGAGAGUGGCGGACGGUGCGGGCCGCGGCCCGUGACAGGUGGAAGGUGGCCCGUGAUUGGUGUUGGUGGCCGUUUUGGUGACAGUGCUUUGGACCGACUAAACUUGUUUAGUGACCAUCAGAGGGCAGUCAGUGGAUGACUGUUACAGAAGGUUCGUGCUAUAUCUGCCUCAUAUCAGAAGCGUGUCUAUUCCGACUACCGCCUUCGAUUCUGCCGGCGCUGGUGGCCGCAGUCCCAGUUUUGGUGGCCUUCCAGCGCUGGUCCUCGACCAACACACGAACCAGUGCGCCUCGUCUGGCGACUCCUCGUUCAAGGCUGUCUGCAUAGUUCAGCGCUGGUCCUCGAUCAUUACACGAACCAGUGCGGCUGAUCACCGUUCGGCGGUUCGUCGCUCAAGGCUGAACUGCAGCCGGCUCUCCGCAUAACUCGGCUGCAGCCACGCCUGGGUGUAAACAGACUUGUUAAAGAUCAACGAGUGCAGCUGGGCGUCUGCAGCGGCCAACGAGAACCUAAUAUUUUCAGCACGAACACCCUCACCGGGCCCCGAUUUCCGUUUGGAAUCCAACUAUUGUAAACAUCUGUUAAUGAACGUUUAGGAUCAUCGAAAGGCUCUGACGGAGCCAGGAGCCAACAGGGGAGGAGGCGCUUGACAUGGAUGAAGCAGCUGAGCCGUCCGGCGGCGGCCAGGCCAGGGGUUCUGGGGGUGACCGGGCGGCUACCGUGCCCGAUCACCGGGAUCAGGGGGCGACUCAGCCCCCCUCCGAACCACAGCGCCCGGCCAGACGGAAGAGAGCAGCCCCGCCACCGCCCCAGGCGCCAGUGGAGGUCUAUGAUGGCGCGGCCGGCGGGAGGCUCCGGCAGUCAGGGGAAGCAUACGGAGCCGGGGACGGCCGCCGCACGCCGGCAGAGCGGUACUGGGAGGCAGGAGGCCCUCCCCGCGGGCGGCGGGUGUCCACCAGCUCCGUGGCCAGCUCCACCAGCUCCGUGACUCGUGGCACGACUACCUCAGACAGCCAGUCAUUGGACAGGAGGCUGUCGACGUCGUCCUAUGAGGCCGCCGAGAGGAGGACGUCACUCGAGACGGAGGGAGGGGUGUCGGAUGGCACCACCGGACACCGCGGGCGCCAACCAGCGGCCCCGCCGACCCGGAAACGACGCGCCCCGGCCCCGCCCGCGGCGCGGACGGGGCGGGGCGUCAGCGCGGCCCCGCCCCCCGCCGAGGCCGACCCCGUCCCACGGGAACAGAGACCGGGCGCUGCCGCUGCGCACGGCCGCCGGGGGGCC